Long non-coding RNA from Cebus imitator (Panamanian white-faced capuchin), 661 nucleotides. RefSeq lists it as uncharacterized. The transcript has 4 exons. NCBI's taxonomy places the organism in Eukaryota, Metazoa, Chordata, Mammalia, Primates, Cebidae. The record is from RefSeq and is a predicted model, not a curated record.
AUUCGUGACUAAAAAAAUAAAAAGCAAACAAAUUAGGAAUACAAGGAUCAAUCAUCAUUCUUAAUGGUGCAAUUUUAUAGCAUUCCCAAGACUGGGAACUUGUCAAGGAUGCCUGCUUGCCUGCUACCAGUUUAUUGGUCAUCAUACUGGAGCUAGCCCACAUAGUUAAUAAAGAAAUUAAAGAUGUUAGGAUUUAAGUGAUAAAACUCAUCCAUAGAUGAUUGAUUAUCUACAUGGAACAUCCAAAAGAACCGCAUACAUAUUCAUGUUUGUUUGUUUGUUUGUUUUAGACAGGUUCUCGCUCUGUUGCCCAGGCUGCAACAGAGGUACAAGAUGUUGCUGACAGUGGUACAAACAUGGCCUCACUGCAGUCUUGAUCUCUUGGGCUCAAGCGAUUCUUCUGCCUCAGCCUCAGAGUGCCUGGGAUCACAGGGGGAAGAUGGUCCUUUGGCUGUGAUGAUGUGGCCCCGAUUGCAGAAUUGAGUUGGAGGCUGAAGAUGUGAGCUCUGAUCCUUACCAGUUCUGGCUAAUGGAUCAGAAAAUCUCCAAGAAGGCCAAGAGAGCUGUCAAAUGAAGUGCGCUGUAGCUCAAGACCAGAGAGAAGGGCCUUGGAGAAGGGAUCCAGGGACUAUAGAUCAGUAGCCAAAACUUGGAUAAUGAG